UAGGGAAUCUUCGGCAAUGGGGGCAACCCUGACCGAGCAACGCCGCGUGAGUGAAGAAGGUUUUCGGAUCGUAAAGCUCUGUUGUAAGUCAAGAACGAGUGUGAGAGUGGAAAGUUCACACUGUGACGGUAGCUUACCAGAAAGGGACGGCUAACUACGUGCCAGCAGCCGCGGUAAUACGUAGGUCCCGAGCGUUGUCCGGAUUUAUUGGGCGUAAAGCGAGCGCAGGCGGUUUGAUAAGCCUGAAGUUAAAGGCUGUGGCUCAACCAUAGUUCGCUUUGGAAACUGUCAAACUUGAGUGCAGAAGGGGAGAGUGGAAUUCCAUGUGUAGCGGUGAAAUGCGUAGAUAUAUGGAGGAACACCGGUGGCGAAAGCGGCUCUCUGGUCUGUAACUGACGCUGAGGCUCGAAAGCGUGGGGAGCGAACAGGAUUAGAUACCCUGGUAGUCCACGCCGUAAACGAUGAGUGCUAGGUGUUGGAUCCUUUCCGGGAUUCAGUGCCGCAGCUAACGUAUUAAGCACUCCGCCUGGGGAGUACGACCGCAAGGUUG
RNAcentral lists this ribosomal RNA (550 nucleotides) under uncultured bacterium. RNAcentral's name for it is "bacterial SSU rRNA". It matches the Rfam family "Bacterial small subunit ribosomal RNA", at positions 355 to 896 of the family's 1533-position model. The record is from RNAcentral.